This 299-nucleotide unclassified non-coding RNA is filed under the name Hevea brasiliensis (rubber tree). Lineage: Eukaryota; Viridiplantae; Streptophyta; Magnoliopsida; Malpighiales; Euphorbiaceae. The record is from RNAcentral.
GGUAGCCAGUCCUGCUCUGGUACCUCAGCCAGAUGCCGUAGUUCUUGAUCUUUGUUGGAUACUUCUCAAAGAUCUCAUUGAUCGCAAGGACUUGCCCAUUGCUCUUUUUCACCUUCUUCAGCUUCCUCAAGAAAUACCAAAACUUGGAUUUCGCUCGAACUUCAUUCGUAGCCCACAGCUUCAUACGGAAAAUCUUCGGGUGUUCAUCCGACGGAGUCGGCAGGGCCCUGCCCACCACUUGGUACUGAUGGAACCUGAAGUUGCCCAUGGAUUGAUCGCUGGAGCUCCGCCGAUCUCAG